AGAACGAACGCUGGCGGCAUGCCUAAUACAUGCAAGUCGAACGAACUCUUCGGAGUUAGUGGCGCACGGGUGCGUAACGCGUGGGAAUCUGCCCCUUGGUUCGGAAUAACAGUUGGAAACGACUGCUAAUACCGGAUGAUGACGAAAGUCCAAAGAUUUAUCGCCAAGGGAUGAGCCCGCGUAGGAUUAGCUAGUUGGUGAGGUAAAGGCUCACCAAGGCAACGAUCCUUAGCUGGUCUGAGAGGAUGAUCAGCCACACUGGGACUGAGACACGGCCCAGACUCCGUACGGGAGCAG
RNAcentral lists this ribosomal RNA (297 nucleotides) under uncultured soil bacterium. Its description in RNAcentral is "partial 16S ribosomal RNA". It matches the Rfam family "Bacterial small subunit ribosomal RNA", at positions 26 to 351 of the family's 1533-position model. The record is from RNAcentral.